UCCCUGGUGGUCCAGUGGCUGAGACUCUGCAGUCCCAAUGCAGGGGGCCUGAGUUCGAUCCCUGGUCAGGGAA
RNAcentral lists this transfer RNA (73 nucleotides) under Bos taurus (domestic cattle). It matches the Rfam family "tRNA". From Rfam's summary of the family: Transfer RNA (tRNA) molecules are approximately 80 nucleotides in length. Their secondary structure includes four short double-helical elements and three loops (D, anti-codon, and T loops). The record is from Rfam by way of RNAcentral. Lineage: Eukaryota; Metazoa; Chordata; Mammalia; Artiodactyla; Bovidae. RNAcentral also lists the same sequence under 1 other name.